RNAcentral lists this ribosomal RNA (1175 nucleotides) under uncultured crenarchaeote. RNAcentral describes it as "bacterial SSU rRNA". It matches the Rfam family "Archaeal small subunit ribosomal RNA", at positions 108 to 1270 of the family's 1478-position model. Lineage: Archaea; Thermoproteati; Thermoproteota. The record is from RNAcentral.
CUUACCCUAUGAAGGGAGAUAACCUCGGGAAACUGAGGAUAAUAUCCCAUAAUUGAGGAUGCCUGGAAUGGUUUCUCAUUGAAAGAACAAUUCAAAUGGGAAUUGUAUCGUCAUAGGAUAGGAUUGCGACCGAUCAUGGUAGUUGGCGAGGUAACGGCUCACCAAGCCUAUAAUCGGUAAGGGCCGUGAGAGCGGGAGCCCUGAGAUGGGUACUGAGACAAUGACCCAGGUCUUACGAGACGCAGCAGGCGCGGAACCUUCACAAUGCACGAAAGUGUGAUGAGGUUACCCGGAGUGCUAUAUAAUAUAGCUGUUGUAGGUGAGUAAGAUUCCCUACGAGAAAGGAGAGGGCAAGGCUGGUGCCAGCCGCCGCGGUAAAACCAGCUCUUCAAGUGGUCGGGACUUUUAUUGGGCUUAAAGUGUUCGUAGCCUGUUUAGUAAGUUCCUGGUAAAACCGGGCAGCUUAACUGUCCGUAUGCUAGGAAUACUGCUAUGCUAGAGGGCGGGAGAGGUCUGAGGUACUACAGGGGUAGGGGUGAAAUCUUAUAAUCCUUGUAGGACCACCAGUGGCGAAAGCGUCAGACUGGAACGCGCCUGACGGUGAGGGACGAAAGCCAGGGGAGCGAACCGGAUUAGAUACCCGGGUAGUCCUGGCCGUAAACGAUGCAUACUAGGCAAUGGUGCGGCCAUGAGCCGCAUCAGUACCGUAGGGAAACCGUUAAGUGUGCCGCCUGGGAAGUACGGUCGCAAGGCUAAAACUUAAAGGAAUUGGCGGGGGAGCACCACAAGGGGUGAAGCCUGCGGUUCAAUUGGACUCAACGCCGGGAAACUUACCAGGGGAGACAGCAGAAUGACAGUCAGGUUGACGACCUUAGGGGACGAGCUGAGAGGAGGUGCAUGGCCGUCGCCAGUUCGUGCUGUGAGGUAUCCUGUUAAGUCAGGCAACGAACGAGAUCCGCGCCUUUAUUUGCCAUCAAGAAGUCACGACUUCGUUGGGAACUCUAAAGGGACCGCCGUCGAUAAGACGGAGGAAGGAGCGGGCAAAGGCAGGUCAGUAUGCCCCGAAACCCCUGGGCUACACGCGGGCUGCAAUGGUGCGAACAAUGGGCUGUAACUCCGAAAGGAGAAACCAAUCCCGAAAUCGCAUCUCAGUGGGGAUUGUCGACUGUAACUCG